RNAcentral lists this non-coding RNA (190 nucleotides) under Ricinus communis (castor bean). RNAcentral's name for it is "Eukaryotic large subunit ribosomal RNA". It matches the Rfam family "Eukaryotic large subunit ribosomal RNA", at positions 3213 to 3401 of the family's 3401-position model. Lineage: Eukaryota; Viridiplantae; Streptophyta; Magnoliopsida; Malpighiales; Euphorbiaceae. The record is from Rfam by way of RNAcentral.
AAAGGCACGUGUCGUUGGCUAAGCCCUCGCGGCGGACGAGCCGCGCGGGCCGCCUUGAAUUACAAUUUCCACCGGGCGGCGGACUGAAUCCUUUGCAGACGACUUAAAUACGCGACGGGGUAUUGUAAGUGGCAGAGUGGCCUUGCUGCCACGAUCCACUGAGAUUCAGCCCUUCGUCGCUCCGAUUCGU